Molecule: long non-coding RNA, 404 nt
Organism: Papaver somniferum (opium poppy)
Lineage: Eukaryota; Viridiplantae; Streptophyta; Magnoliopsida; Ranunculales; Papaveraceae
Exons: 2
Source: RefSeq, a predicted model, not a curated record
UUCUAGUAAGAAAAAUCUAAUUUUCUUCUCAUUCUUUGUUUUUUCCCCACCUGAUCCCUUUCUUGUUCUUCAACACCAAAAGCCCACUAAUCAGCGAAUGAAGGAAGCUGAAUUUAAAUCCUUGAAUUGAAGUACCGUAUAGAGUUAGGAUUUGGGAUGGGACAGUGAGCUACAAGAAGCUUGCGGCAGCAAAGCUGGAGACACAAUGUUGGUAUUCACUUUGUCGUCCCUAUAUAUAUAUGUACAUAUCAUGGCAUAAUUAAUAAGUGAACUUGAGAGUGUUUUGGAGACACUGUUCGUGUUUGGUUUGUUUAAAUUUUCCGCUAUUAAGUACUUAAAUGCCAUUGUAAAUGAAUGUUAGUUUACAAAACACCUAUUUUAUUAAUGGAAGCAUUAUUGGACUA